This 80-nucleotide transfer RNA is filed under the name Candidatus Bathyarchaeota archaeon. RNAcentral describes it as "tRNA-Tyr". It matches the Rfam family "tRNA". From Rfam's summary of the family: Transfer RNA (tRNA) molecules are approximately 80 nucleotides in length. Lineage: Archaea; Thermoproteati; Candidatus Bathyarchaeota. The record is from RNAcentral.
CGGGCGGUAGCUCAGCUUGGUAGAGCUUCCGGCUGUAGGCAGAAACCGGAGUGUCGCAGGUUCAAAUCCUGCCCGCCCGA